CCAGGCAUUCAUUAAUCAAGGGAAAGGGCGUCGUUUGUGAAAGAAAAUAGUUUCUUCUUCUGGUUCUUGUAGGCGACAGGAGGGCAGAGCUGGAGGGUUUCCAUCCUGAGGUAGAGGACAAGAGGCAGAGGUGUUUGGGUGGAGAGGGGAAGAUGUGAGGAAGUAGAAAAAAGGGAAGGCUCCACGUGAUGGAGCAGUUGUGAAGAAGGCGAAAAUAGAAAACAGGGGACCCUCUUUCAUGCUCUGCAUUGACUCGAAGGAAGAAGAAGAAAGAGAAAAUGCCGAGAAGGGAGAAGACGGGGGAGGCGAGGUCAUAUGUUCUGCAGCUUCUUCAUGUGUUUGCACCCAAGUGGAAAGCUACCUCUAUCCUAGCUUAUACAAAAAACAGACAAUAUUUAAUUAUAUUUUCUGUUAUCUCUCAACCUCUGGUAAUUUGUGGGCUAAGGUAGUAGGAGGUAAAAGAAGAGAUUAGAAGAAGAAGAAAAAUGGCGAGAGAGUUGGUUUAUAGUGACCAAGGCAAUGGCUGUGCAGGUUUUGCUAUGAACAACUUCGCAGGUGGAGGCCUGUUCUUGCUUUGCAUGGUGCUUGUCUCUCUCUCGCUUGUGUCAUUGGUCGUCUUCAUUUGUGGUGAUGAUGAUCACAAACCUCACAUAAGAUUUCCUGGUGGUGGUGCUGGUUGUCGAGCCGGUGAUGGUGGUUGCCGAGAUGGCUGCGGCAAAGGUGACGGUGGCUGCCGCGGUUGAUGAGAAGCAGGCUAUUGAA
Molecule: non-coding RNA, 762 nt
Organism: Carica papaya (papaya)
Lineage: Eukaryota; Viridiplantae; Streptophyta; Magnoliopsida; Brassicales; Caricaceae
Source: RefSeq, a predicted model, not a curated record